AUGGUGUUGCUUUUGGAGUGGCCAUUAUCUUCCCAUCGGGAGUUUCUUGUUGGGGCUAUAAUUAUAAGUAUCUCUGUUACUUGCACGACAAAAACGAGCUCGACAGGAGGUAUCAUAUUCAGAUUUUCGUGGCGGAUGCAAUUGUGGUUCCGUCUGGUUAUAGACAAUUCCGAGGGAUGGAAAUGUCUAGCAAUGGCUGUUGUGUUUACCUCUACGAGUGAGAAUGCAGAAAUCCAGAGCAUUAUGGUACAUCUAGAAAAAUCAAUGCACUGGCAGUUCAGGGGGAAAGAAGAACAAGAGAGCAAUGGAACCUGUACGGGUGACAACAAGAUAAGUGAGCGCCAGGAAGCGAUCAUCACAAUGUUAUUCGCUAGUAUAAACUACUCCAGCAUGCUACAACACUCAGCCAUGGGAGUCUUGAAAAAUGAGUUGUGGUGCUUCUGUCAUCCAUGUCACAACAGUCCAGCAGCAUUACUUGGACUACAGAAGUUGACAAACCUACAACUGAGUAUGGAGAAGGCAAUAGCCAGUGGCGAACUACAUCAGUGGGUGGCCCUCAUUUUCUUGCGUGGAGCAUGGGAGCUUGAUCACAUACAUGACAAGUCGAUGGAGCUACUAGGUUUCCUGUCGACAUUCUCUUGUCAGUCAUUGAAGUCAAUGGGGAGCGGUGCAAUUUGGGUGUUGGGCACACUCGAGGAUCCUGGGAGCUUCAUGGCUGUCGAGGGAGGCUUUUUGAUUUCAGCUUCCAAUCAAGAACAUUUUGAAGGAAGGAAAGGCAUCAUCGUCGUCACUGUGGUCUUCGUGCAGGUCUAUGCCGACCAUGAAUACUACCUCGGUUUCGACUACUAUGGUACUGACAAUGGCUACGUCCUCAACAUAUUCUUUGGCUGGGUUCCCUUCGACCACAACAAUUACUUCUCCCUCGUUGAAGUCUACCCCGACUCUGGCCAAGGCCAAGAACAUCAAGUGCAAUGGGAUCCGGGUGGUUCUCGGUGGCGCCGGCUUGGGGUCAAACCGCAUUUCAAGGAGGGGGGAUGUCAGGGACCUUCGUACCCCAUACAUAUACUGGGCUGGCCCUUGGAUAUCACAUGGGCCGGGCCUGCCUGUGCAUUACCGACUGCUACGGGCUACAAGUACUGGGAGAGGAAGCAACGAAGAAUCUGUCCAGUGGAUCAACGAACCGGCGGCGGCGGCUACCUCUUUCCCCUUCCUCCUCCUUCCCCCAAUUCUUGUAUCCAGGCUUGUAAUCUCUAA
RNAcentral lists this ribosomal RNA (1254 nucleotides) under Triticum aestivum (bread wheat). RNAcentral's name for it is "partial small subunit ribosomal RNA". Lineage: Eukaryota; Viridiplantae; Streptophyta; Magnoliopsida; Poales; Poaceae. The record is from RNAcentral.